AUGAUUCUGAAACAAUCUGCAAUUAAAAAUAAGAGAUAUGGUAAUCUUCAAGCAAUUGAGGAUUUGACCAUUUGAUAUUCCCAAAAAUUGAAAAAGCCAGUCAGUGCGUUUACAAGCAGAACCCCCUUUCCCCGACUGUGGGCCCAUCACCAGCUCCUUUAGACCUUAAUAGCUCCUAUUUUAUCUUCAUGUCAUCAUGUGCCAUGCAAAAUUAA
This 215-nucleotide long non-coding RNA is filed under the name Prunus dulcis (almond). RNAcentral's name for it is "sRNA ncRNA". Lineage: Eukaryota; Viridiplantae; Streptophyta; Magnoliopsida; Rosales; Rosaceae. The record is from RNAcentral.